AUUAGCCCAGCACCGAAGCCUGUGGCCAUUUGGUCAUUAGGCAAUGUGGUGUUCAGGUCGUUCCGCAAAGGUACUGCUCCACCCUAAGUCCAUCAAUGAGUACGGUAGUACGGACAUGGCCCACAGAGGGUGAAAGGCCCGUGUGGGUGGAGAUCAGGUAGGCCAGUACCUUUCUGGAUAGACCUUGGAGUCGGGUUGUUUGGGAAUGCAGCCCAAAGUGGGUGGUAAACUCCAUCCAAGGCUAAAUACAAGCACGAGUCCGAUAGCGAACAAGUACCGUGAGGGAAAGUUGAAAAGUACUUUGAAGAGAGAGUAAACAGUGCGUGAAACCGAUCAGAGGUAAACGGGUGGAGUUGAACUGCAAGCUCUGAGGAUUCAACUGAUGAGUGUGUCUUGAGCUUUGGAUGUUGGGCCCUGAAGUCUGCUUAGCUGCAGGCCUUUGCUCUUCGGAGUGGAGGUGCGCGAGGCACUUAUCAAGUGUUGUGCGCUUUGGGUGUUCAUCAAACCACUUGUCAGUGCACUUUCUCAGAGUAGUCACCACGACCGGCACUGCUGUCUGGCUGUUAUGGUUAAACCGUUUUCGCAUUGUCCUUGUGGCUCUGCUUGAUCGGGAAGGCAGGUGGUUCAUGACUUGCUUGUGGGAAUCCUGCAGGCAUUGGGUCAUUGAGUGUAAUCAGCUGACCAUAUCAGUUCUGUGCAGUGUGUCGGAGACGGCGGCUUUUGUGUGUGCGCGCGUGCCAGUCUGGCUGACGUGUCCGGGUUUGGUUAUUAUGUUGCCUGUUUAUGCAGGCCUGGUAAUGGCUCGGAUUCGUUCAGUUGGCGGUUGCGUGCGUGACACAGCUCAUGGGCCAAUAGUCUGUGUUGUAGUGGUAGACU
Molecule: ribosomal RNA, 876 nt
Filed under: Cercaria etgesii
Lineage: Eukaryota; Metazoa; Platyhelminthes; Trematoda
Description: partial large subunit ribosomal RNA
Rfam family: Eukaryotic large subunit ribosomal RNA
Source: RNAcentral